AGCGUAGACGGCGCAGCAAGUCUGAUGUGAAAGGCAGGGGCUUAACCCCCGGACUGCAUUGGAAACUGCUGUGCUUGAGUGCCGGAGGGGUAAGCGGAAUUCCUAGUGUAGCGGUGAAAUGCGUAGAUAUUAGGAGGAACACCAGUGGCGAAGGCGGCUUACUGGACGGUAACUGACGUUGAGGCUCGAAAGCGUGGGGAGCAAACA
This 207-nucleotide ribosomal RNA is filed under the name uncultured bacterium. RNAcentral describes it as "partial 16S ribosomal RNA". It matches the Rfam family "Bacterial small subunit ribosomal RNA", at positions 568 to 774 of the family's 1533-position model. The record is from RNAcentral.